CCUACGGGGGGCUGCAGUGGGGAAUAUUGGACAAUGGGGGCAACCCUGAUCCAGCCAUGCCGCGUGUGUGAAGAAGGCCCUCGGGUUGUAAAGCACUUUCAGUGAGGAAGAACGCCUGGUGGUUAAUACCCAUCAGGAAAGACAUCACUCACAGCAGAAGCACCGGCUAACUCCGUGCCAGCAGCCGCGGUAAUACGGAGGGUGCGAGCGUUAAUCGGAAUUACUGGGCGUAAAGCGCGCGUAGGUGGCUUGAUAAGCCGGUUGUGAAAGCCCCGGGCUCAACCUGGGAACGGCAUCCGGAACUGUCAAGCUAGAGUGCAGGAGAGGAAGGUAGAAUUCCCGGUGUAGCGGUGAAAUGCGUAGAGAUCGGGAGGAAUACCAGUGGCGAAGGCGGCCUUCUGGACUGACACUGACACUGAGGUGCGAAAGCGUGGGUAGCAAACAGGAUUAGAUACCCUUGUAGUC
This 465-nucleotide ribosomal RNA is filed under the name Vreelandella stevensii. Its description in RNAcentral is "partial 16S ribosomal RNA". It matches the Rfam family "Bacterial small subunit ribosomal RNA", at positions 338 to 795 of the family's 1533-position model. The record is from RNAcentral. Lineage: Bacteria; Pseudomonadati; Pseudomonadota; Gammaproteobacteria; Oceanospirillales; Halomonadaceae.